GAUUACACUCUGAAUUCCCUUGUAGUGAGCUUACUUCUCUCCACCCACUUCUUACCAAGAACUCCUUAACUUGAGGGUGAACAACUUAAAGCUUGAUCCUACAGUUACCUGAAAAGUGAUUUGAGUAUUCAUUGAACUGAAAGAACAAAUCGCCUACUUCAGGCGGUGGCAAGCGUAUGGAAAUUAUAUUAGAACUUCAGCAAAGUGCACAGCUGCAUAAUAGAGAAGCCGGCACUCAGAUUGACAGGCAAAUAAGCCAGCUUGUGGAAGGGGCCUCUGGGUGGCAGCUCUGGGCUUUUGGGUGUUGGACAACCAUAGGCAAAACUGAAAUGGAACAGGGGCAGAAAAUAGCACACUUUUACUCUACGCAACUGUUGCUUUUUCAUGGACAUCCAUAAAAAUUCAUCAGAGAGCAUUUUACUACUGAGCUGCAAAGGUAGGAAAAAUAAAUUUUUUUUGGUUAGAAAAUAUACUUCUUUCAUCUGCGUUUCAAUAAUUUAUUCCCCUUGUUAGAUAUACAUGGAAUUGAUAUUGCUUAUUCUGACUAAGUGAAAAGUGUUAUUUCUACUUACUGCUCAAUUAGAAACAUGUAGUGUUUAAUUGUCAGUUUGAAUUUUUCUUUCAUACUAUUACAGUUUAUAUUUUACUAUAGGCAGAAUUUCCUCUUUAUCCUAAAUUUUGAUAUUCUCCAUAAUUUCAUCGUGCCUUGACAUUGCUGUAUAUAAUUUCUAUACAUCAGGAAGGCAAUUCUGUGUGCAUGUGUGUGUGUAUAUAUAUAGUUAGAAGUUAGAAACUGAAACUCUUUUUUGUCUACCAUCAUUUCAUAUUUUUCUUGCUAUUUCAAACCUAUAAUUUUUAAAGAAACGACUAACGUAAUCAUUCAUAGAAUAUGCUGUCAGUAACUUAACAAUAUAAAUGUUAACAUGGAGGCAUUUAGUUCAGCAUUUGCUUUACUUAAUAGAGUGCAGAAAAUGUGGCCCUUUUCUCAGUUAGGGUGUAUGUGAAGAUAAAUUUAGAAUUUCUAGACUAGUAAAUACUUCUCUGAUAAUAACUUAAUUAUAGCUAUUUCAAACCAAAUUGUUUAAUUGUGGUGAAUCAUAUGUAAAUUGUUCAGAUGUAGGUCAACACCCACGCCCACAUUCUAGCACCUCUUUCCUAAUUCAAGACAACUUUGCAGUGCCUAAAAGAGCUGAACAGUGCAGAUUAGAGACAUAAGACAAAAAAAAAAAAAAAACACAAAACAA
Molecule: long non-coding RNA, 1244 nt
Filed under: Homo sapiens (human)
Lineage: Eukaryota; Metazoa; Chordata; Mammalia; Primates; Hominidae
Description: mir-99a-let-7c cluster host gene
Source: RNAcentral